AUACGUAGGUCCCGAACGUUGCGCGAAAUUACUGGGCGUAAAGGGUCCGUAGGCGGUCUGGUAAGUGGAAGGUGAAAGCCUGGGGCUCAACUCCAGAAUUGCCUUCCAAACUGCUGGACUUGAGGCAGGGAGAGGUCGGCGGAAUUCCCGGUGUAGUGGUGAAAUGCGUAGAUAUCGGGAGGAACACCAGUGGCGAAGGCGGCCGACUGGAACUGUCCUGACGCUGAGGGACGAAAGCCAGGGGAGCGAACCGGAUUAGAAACCCUAGUAGUUC
RNAcentral lists this ribosomal RNA (274 nucleotides) under uncultured bacterium. RNAcentral's name for it is "partial 16S ribosomal RNA". It matches the Rfam family "Bacterial small subunit ribosomal RNA", at positions 523 to 796 of the family's 1533-position model. The record is from RNAcentral.